GAAUAUAAGGGACUCUGGCGAGAUACUGAGCAUGGACAUUGACCGACUGAUGCUGUCACAGGAGAACAGGUUUGAUUUUGUCAAUGAGGUGGCUGCAGAGGCCACAGCUUACCUCGAGAACAACAGGGAUGAAUACGGGGCGAAGAAGCCGAUACUGCAUGUGAUAAGUAACCGCAUGAAUGAAGCUGGAUUCUAUCGACCGGAGGCUUAC
This 211-nucleotide unclassified non-coding RNA is filed under the name Hevea brasiliensis (rubber tree). The record is from RNAcentral. Lineage: Eukaryota; Viridiplantae; Streptophyta; Magnoliopsida; Malpighiales; Euphorbiaceae.